AGCCUGAUGCAGCAACGCCGCGUGAGGGAUGAAGGCCUUUGGGUUGUAAACCUCUUUCCUCCGGGAAGAAGACCUGAGGGUACCCGUAGAAAAAGCCCCGGCUAACUCCGUGCCAGCAACCGCGGUAAUACGGAGGGGGCGAGCGUUGUUCGGAAUUACUGGGCGUAAAGGGCGUGCAGGCGGCCUUGUCAGUCUGGGGUGAAAUCCCGGGGCUCAACCCGGGACCUGCGCUUGAAACUGUGUCGCUUGAGAGCGAGAGAGGUAAGCGGAAUUUCCAGUGUAGAGGUGAAAUUCGUAGAUAUUGGGAAGAACACCAGUGGCGAAAGCGGCUUACUGGCUCGUUUCUGACGCUCAGGUGCGAAAGCGUGGGGAGCGAAAAGGAUUAUAUACCCUGGUAGUCCACGCCGUAAACGAUGUGUGCUAGACGUGGGGGGAAU
Molecule: ribosomal RNA, 437 nt
Filed under: uncultured Alphaproteobacteria bacterium
Lineage: Bacteria; Pseudomonadati; Pseudomonadota; Alphaproteobacteria
Description: bacterial SSU rRNA
Rfam family: Bacterial small subunit ribosomal RNA
Source: RNAcentral